RNAcentral lists this transfer RNA (72 nucleotides) under Camelus bactrianus (Bactrian camel). It matches the Rfam family "tRNA". From Rfam's summary of the family: Transfer RNA (tRNA) molecules are approximately 80 nucleotides in length. Their secondary structure includes four short double-helical elements and three loops (D, anti-codon, and T loops). Lineage: Eukaryota; Metazoa; Chordata; Mammalia; Artiodactyla; Camelidae. RNAcentral also lists the same sequence under 2 other names. The record is from Rfam by way of RNAcentral.
GAGGGUGUAGCUCGGUGGUAGAGAGCAUGCUUAGCAUGCACAAGGUCCUGGAUUCAAUCUCCAGUACCUCCA